CACUGUGCGAAUGAGAGGGUUAUAUUCACUUGAGUAUACUAUCUAUAUACAAUACUGGGAACUCCUGGGUGUUUGAAAAGUGGGGGUAUUUUUUUUUCCUUCUCACUGCCCCAGAUGCGGUUAUGUGCUCCUUCUCUUCAGCAGAGUUUUCUUAUCAAUUGAUAAUUUUGUCCUAAAGGGACAAGAAUCCUACAGCUGUAUGGAUUGUACGUAUUGUUUUGCUUCAACCUUAAUUAUAAUGUUUCCCCAUGCUGUCUGUCUGUCUGUCCAGGUGUUGUUCUUCAACCUGCUAGAUUCUUCUUAAGAGAAUGCAGUGCAAGUGCUCGACUUCAGCUUUAAUUGCCAAGGCAUCCAUCACAAAGAAGGCUCUCCUUCAAAGAUGGCGACCUCCAAGAAACACAUGGUCAGCCCCAGGACAAGACAGAGCCAGGCUACCUCACCCCACUGAGCCUCCUUGGUUUCAGAGAACUCGAUUUCAAUAACUGACCAUUUGGGCCACGUGCCUUUUCUUUUCUCACCUUUUUUGAAAUUCACCAAUAGUGAGUGAGCCCCUGAACCCUAGGCCCCUACUCUCCACCCCAGUAAAAGCAGAACCUCUGGCCUGUG
Herpailurus yagouaroundi (jaguarundi) is the source of this 606-nucleotide long non-coding RNA. RefSeq lists it as uncharacterized. The record is from RefSeq and is a predicted model, not a curated record. NCBI's taxonomy places the organism in Eukaryota, Metazoa, Chordata, Mammalia, Carnivora, Felidae. The transcript has 2 exons.